GAUGAACGCUGGCGGUAUGCUUAACACAUGCAAGUCGAACGGACUCUUCGGAGUUAGUGGCGGACGGGUGAGUAACGCGUGAGAAUCUGGCUUUGGGUUCGGGACAACCACUGGAAACGGUGGCUAAUACCGGAUGUGCCGAGAGGUAAAAGAGAAAUUGCCUGAAGAUGAGCUCGCGUCUGAUUAGCUAGUUGGUGAGGUAAAGGCUCACCAAGGCAGCGAUCAGUAGCUGGUCUGAGAGGAUGACCAGCCACACUGGGACUGAGACACGGCCCAGACUCCUACGGGAGGAAGCAGUGGGGAAUUUUCCGCAAUGGGCGAAAGCCUGACGGAGCAAUACCGCGUGAGGGAAGAAAGCUCUUGGGAUGUAAACCUCUUUUCUUAGGGAAGAACAAAAUGACGGUACCUAAGGAAUCAGCAUCGGCUAACUCCGUG
Molecule: ribosomal RNA, 435 nt
Filed under: uncultured bacterium
Lineage: Bacteria
Description: partial 16S ribosomal RNA
Rfam family: Bacterial small subunit ribosomal RNA
Source: RNAcentral